RNAcentral lists this ribosomal RNA (254 nucleotides) under uncultured bacterium. RNAcentral describes it as "partial 16S ribosomal RNA". It matches the Rfam family "Bacterial small subunit ribosomal RNA", at positions 524 to 776 of the family's 1533-position model. The record is from RNAcentral.
CACGGAGGGUGCUAGCGUUGUUCGGAAUUACUGGGCGUAAAGGGCGCGUAGGCGGCCUGGGAAGUCGGCUUGUGAAAGCCCGGGGCUCAACCCCGGAGGUGCGGCCGAUACUCUCUGGCUGGAGGCCGGAAGAGGAGGGUGGAAUACCCAGUGUAGAGGUGAAAUUCGUAGAUAUUGGGUGGAACACCGGUGGCGAAAGCGGCUCUCUGGUCCGGACCUGACGCUGAGGCGCGAAAGCGUGGGGAGCAAACAGG